AUAGCAGCAACAAGAAAGUGCCUGAAUUGAUAUAGUUUAUUUAAGCGCUGAUACAAUGCUGCCAGAUCAAAUUUAAUGCCAAGAACAUUUCAGUUUAGGGCAGUCUAUGAACUGAUCUACACGUGGCCAGACAUAU
Drosophila suzukii is the source of this 136-nucleotide non-coding RNA. NCBI's taxonomy places the organism in Eukaryota, Metazoa, Arthropoda, Insecta, Diptera, Drosophilidae. The record is from RefSeq and is a predicted model, not a curated record.